CUCACAAGUAGAAUCUGCAACUCGCAAAACGGGGACUUUCUGUCUUCUGAUACUACAGCCAUAUAGGCAACCCGAUGAAGGGGGGAUAUAAUUAAUUUCCCAUGAAUCGUGCGAACAACACCCUGAAAUAAAAUGUGUAGCCUACAUGGAUAUCAGACAAGGCGAACUUCCAGGAUCGACGAUAUGGCGUGGACCAUCGUUGGAUGUGUAUGGAGGAGGAUGCAGACAUGAAUGAAACAUUUCGCUGAUUCUUAUUUUUUGGCAAAGCACACAUUAAAAAAACCAAAAAAAAAAACAACAAAUGGACCACCUCUUCACCAUUUUUCACUCAAGCUGGAUUCAGGCUUGCUAUCAUUUUGAAUCGAGCUCCAAAAAAUUCAGUGCUUGUGACGAAUUUAACCCUGUAUGGUCAACAAGAUUGGCCAAAGUGCUCCAUCACGCUGUAAUGGCCGCCUAAAGCAUCGAAUCCCUUUAUGCGUUUAUUUUUUCUGCGUUUGACUUGGACAGAUAAUGCAUUCAACUUUCAUGGUGAUACAUACAGGAUAUUUUUUUUUUUUACCUUCUUUCGUGAAAUUUCAUAAAAGCAAAGCCAGAUGGGCUCUUGGGGGUCUCUUGGGAUAGACAAAGGCCAUUAAAUGUAUUCUCAACGGAAAUGUGUUCAUUCCGGAAUUUCGUAGCAUUAAUAGCCCACCAAGCCGUAUCAUUUUAAAUAAAUAAAAAUUUGUACUCGUGGAUAUUUAUUGCCGUAUAAAAGAUGGCGUAUCUUGCAUUGUGUAUUUGCAUUUAAUCUUGUGUACUACUUCAGAUAGAAUCAUGAUGCAUAUAAAUGUUGAGAAUGCUUACACGUUUCAUGCCCAGUGUUUAGACUUGUUCAUAUGUAUGGUAAGAUUUGAGACUCUAGCUCUCCGUGUUCACAGCGGACCUUGAUUUAAUGUCAUACAAUUAAGGCACGCGGUGAAUGCCAAGAGCGGAGCCUUCAACCUUCAGCAUGGCCUAAUUAAACCCUGGAAUCAAAAGGACAUCAAAAAAAAAAAAAAAACAGUGAUGAGAUUUGGGCCUUACACACAUACAUUGAAAGUCUGUAAGUCUUGAUUUUUACUUCAAUAAAAUUAAGCAUGACAACCAUUA
Long non-coding RNA from Anguilla anguilla (European eel), 1128 nucleotides. RefSeq lists it as uncharacterized. The record is from RefSeq and is a predicted model, not a curated record. The transcript is spliced from 2 exons. Lineage: Eukaryota; Metazoa; Chordata; Actinopteri; Anguilliformes; Anguillidae.